Anguilla rostrata (American eel) is the source of this 4129-nucleotide RNA transcript. It is a transcript of the gene named RING finger protein 223-like, with no coding region annotated. The record is from RefSeq and is a predicted model, not a curated record. NCBI's taxonomy places the organism in Eukaryota, Metazoa, Chordata, Actinopteri, Anguilliformes, Anguillidae. The transcript is spliced from 3 exons.
GAGUGGGCAGACACCUGUGUGCGUGUGUGUGUCCGUGUGUGUGUGUGUCUGUUUGUGUGUGCAGCAAGCCAUGCGUUCUCCUUCUCCCUCUUCCUUCUCCUGUCCCCUCCCUCCCUUUCCCCCCUUUUUCCCUACACGCCAGCAUUCCCUGCCUGCGAGGGGUCAUUUGCAUACAGAGGGCUGAAAAGCCUGCGCGUUGUCAACAGGCAGGUGAAAAGGCGACUUCGGGUUUUUGAGCGAGCGGGACGGUUGGCGGUGGCACCACACCCAGACCCCAAGUGCUCUCCAAACAAAACACAGCCUCGGGGGCUGAAACAAAGGAGAGGAGAAGCAGCAGCAGCAGCAGCACCUGUGUGGCGGACUUUUCCAGCGGCGCACAACACCGGGAGAGACGGCCACAGAGAGGUUUUCAUCUCCGCGCGAGAGGGAGCGGGACCGAGGACUUACUGAAGAACUCCUCAAAAGGCUACACAUCAACAAAAAGGGAGGAAAGAGGAGGAAAGAAGAAAGGAGGAGAAAAAAGAAGAAGAGAAGGAGGUGGAGGAGACAAUGCAGGCGACGCAGGUGUGGCACACGAAGGUGGUGCCGUCGGAGGACGACGCGGACAGGGGCCGGGACAGGCCGGAGUGCUCCAUCUGCUACAACACCUACGACAACGUCUUCAAGACGCCCAAGAUGCUGGAGUGCGCGCACACCUUCUGCCUGGAGUGCCUGUCCCGCGUGAUGGCGCUCUCCGCGGAGGACGAGACGGGGGAGAUCCCGUGCCCCCUGUGCCGGCACCCGACCUCGGUCCCGCAGAGCGGCACGCCGGCCCUGGCCACCAGCCGGGAGGUGCUGAGCCAGCUGCCGGCCCACCAGCGGCGCGAGGAGCGCGUGUGGCUGGAGGGCAAGAAGCUGUGCUACUCCAGCCCGCCGCACGCCGGCAGCUCCACCACCUGCAUCUGCAUCGACAUCGGCGGCAGCGGCAAGCAGGAGCGGGCCGCCGCGCUGGCCCCGCCCCACCGCGCGGGGCCCCUGGGCCGCCUGGCGGACUGGAAGCGGCUGCUGCUGAUGGCGGUGCUGGCGGCCAUGCUGAUCGGCAUCGUGCUCUGGCCGCUGUACUGCAUCACCGACGGCAACGCCACGUGCUGGGACGGCCGGCCCUCCCCGGGGCUGCACUCCACCACGGCCCCGCCCACGCCCAUGAAGCUGCCGGUGUGAAAGCCGAGGGAAGGACGCGACGAAACCCUCACGAGCGCUCACAGCGCUCCCCCCCCCAUCUCUCCCCACUGCCACAGCCAAACCUGGGCUCUCCACAAGAGGCGUGAGAACAUGAGAAAGAGGAGGGGGGGGGGGAGAGAGACAGAGAAAGACAGAAACAAAGAAAGAGAGAGGUUUGGGAAAGCCUGACUACUGCAGAAAGGGAGAGUCAGGAUUCCAGAAGACCAACGGACUCUGAUAUUGCUCUGGUCUCACGGUAUUGGCCACAGACUUUCAAGCACAUGGUAAUCACACACCCCUGAAAACACUGUUUGUAAAGCAGUUGGUAUCACUUGACUUGAAAGAAGGAGCUUUGCUGAGAGAAGUGGCGAUGUAAUCCUAUCGAGACUCAACAGGUGCCAUGAAAGCACUUCACCAGAACCAGACCUCACACAGUGAACAAAUGCUACCACAGAAUUACAAAGAAAACAAAUCCAUAUAUGAUAUGAUAUUGCAUGAACUACAAGGGGAGGGCUAAAUCAUAUUGUAUAUUGCAUAAUGUGCUGAUGUAAAGUGAAAUCUGGAAUUGUAAGUUGUUAAAUUUCAGGUCUUAAAUUUCCAGAGCAACUAUGCAAGAAACGAACAGUGCUUUACAAUUCACUGCAUGAAUGUGGGUGAAAUGCAAUAUGCAGAAGGAAAAAAAAAAAAAUAGAAAGACCAGCAAAAAAUAAGUACUUCAGCGUGUAAAGCCGAAUCCAGCCGGCUCAAGCUUGGUCCUGUUAAAUCGAAAUGUCUGCAGAGUUUUUUUUCUUGUCCCAGUUAGGGGGAUUUCAGUACCUGAUUAGACUGUUCAGUCUUCACAAAUCGGUUCUAGCUUUCCGCCACAGUGUUAUGCCUGACGGUCGGUCUGCCGCUUAGCUGCAUAUCGCACCGCUACAAGGCCAGAGGGGAGGGAAAAAAACCACAUUUAUUACCAACAGCGCAACUGUGAUGAACAAGAGAAGCGGUGCUAAGUUUCCAUUCGUACUUCCUUAUCAGUGUUACUCCGCUGGUAUAGAGCCGUGUGCUAGAAAGAGACAUUCCGUUUCUAAUUUUAUCUUCUCAACGUUGCCAGGAACAAACACCUGUGCCAGGGUGCACAACAAGGGCUGAUCCGUUUCAGGAUUUUGUGCCAACUUCUGCUCUUUAUGAUUUAAUUGGCACAAUAUUUAUCUUGAUUUGUACAAGCACCAGCCACAGCCACGGCCACAGACUGCAAGUGUAUACUAAAGAGUUUACUGGGCUCAGGCACUGGAGUGAACCAGCAUAGUUUACAGAGCCGUCAUAUAACUAAACCAAGGUAACUGGUUGGAACAAGCACCAGCACACAGACCAGGGCCAGAGCUGUGCACCCACGCUCUAUGGAGGCAAACACUCCUCAGAUUGCCAGACAGACCUCCUCCAGCACCUUCUGAAUCAGUGUGAGCUCACUGUUGAUGCCAACUUCUUUGUAUGGUGAGCACCACCGUACCUUUGGAGGGCCACUGGCACUCACACAUGCUGAAAAAAACCUAAACCCUUGGACAAAUACUAUGCACAUUUCACUGAUAUUGUAUUCCAAGAAACAUCUGCCAUACAAUAUGGGAAAAUAAAUGUAAAAAAAAUAAAUAUUUUGCAUUGUUGCAUUGGGCAAAGCCCAGUGAGCUUUUCUUCAGAGCCAGUGCUGUGACGGUCUUAUAAUAACACUCAUGGCAUUACAAUACAUUUACGAAUACCGCAAAUCCGUUAUGAUAAUUAUAAUAUAAACCACACUCAGAACAUUUGCCACUGACUAUCGGACAGAAAAUAAGCUAAAUAAACACACACUGUGUAUAGGCACAUUAUUAUCACCAGUAGUAAUACGAAUAGCAUGUUGCACAAAACUCGGAGGCCAACUUACAGCUUACCUUACAAGUGUAUUCCCCUACUCAGGUACAGGUACUAGGGACCUGGUCUCUACCGACCUUCCAAGAGCAGAAAGACUGCCGUGGAAUAAAAGCAAGUUUGGGACCAAAAAUGUUCUGUAUCACCCCUUGUGUCAGCAUAUACAUUGCAUAUGAACUGUGGCAGUGUAGUAUAAUGGGUAAGGCGUGGGUCUUUGAUUCCCAGGUAGGACACUGCUGUUGUGUCCUUGAGCAAGAUACUUAACAUGCAUUGCUUCAGUGUAUAUCCAACUGUAUAAAUGGAUUGCAGUGUAAAUGCAGUGCAAAAUCUGUGCAAGUCGCUCGGCAUAAGAGUGUCUGCUAAAAUGCCGGUAAUGUAAUAAUAAACUAGAGUUAAAUUAGAAAAUUUACCAGGGGGUAACCAGCGUAAGCCUGCUGGGGAAAUGUUUACUUUGCGGCAGGACACACCUGGUGACAUUUUAUUCCCAGCCUGGGAAGGUUUUAUAGCUGGAGAUAAAGAGCUGAUGUUGACAGUGCUCUGAUGGCUGGCCUCCAGGCAGUGCUGCUGACAGGUGCACAAAGUCUACAGCACACGUUUCUCAGGUAAACGUGGACGGGGAAACAAAAAGAGAGCGAAAGUCUGACCUUAACCGCGUUCUAAUUUUAGACCGCGCUGUUCAGAUGUUGGCCUACUUUCUGGUCUUUAAACCAGAGUGCUGUUUAUCGCAAUUAUUUUCUGUUCUUUCCCCGUGUCUUCCCGCAAUCUGCGCUUUACGAUAACGAAGAAGCUGUUAAAUAAUUAGCCCCUGAGGUGAAGUCCCAGAGGACAAUAUCACUUUUGGGAAAUGGAAACUCUCACAGGAAGCUGGGUAGAAAGACAGACAUUUUGCAACAGGUGAAAUUUCAUACCCUGAUUCUGUGAUGAAAGUUCUGGUCCACAACAAAGUUUUGAGCUGCCACCAUUCCAGAUAGAGACUAUGCUGCGAUUUUGAAACAUAUGGUAUAUUUCAAUGAAACAAAAAAAAUAUACCAUAAUAUUCCAUGUUAAA